RNAcentral lists this ribosomal RNA (488 nucleotides) under uncultured bacterium. RNAcentral describes it as "partial 16S ribosomal RNA". It matches the Rfam family "Bacterial small subunit ribosomal RNA", at positions 28 to 507 of the family's 1533-position model. The record is from RNAcentral.
GACGAACGCUGGCGGCGUGCUUAACACAUGCAAGUCGAACGCGCCUGUCCUCUGGGUUUCUGGGGGGUGGGUGAGUGGCGAACGGGUGAGUAACACGUGAGUAACCUGCCCCCUUCUUCGGGAUAACGGUCUGAAAGGGCUGCUAAUACCGGGUAUUCACUGGUCUCCGCAUGGGGUCUGGUGGAAAGGUUUUUUUCUGGUGGGGGAUGGGCUCGCGGCCUAUCAGCUUGUUGGUGGGGUGAUGGCCCACCAAGGCUUUGACGGGUAGCCGGCCUGAGAGGGUGACCGGUCACAUUGGGACUGAGAUACGGCCCAGACUCCUACGGGAGGCAGCAGUGGGGAAGAUUGCACAAUGGGCGCAAGCCUGAUGCAGCGACGCCGCGUGAGGGAUGGAGGCCUUCGGGUUGUGAACCUCUUUCGCCCGUGGUCAAGCCGCGAUGUGGGUCGUGGUGAGGGUAGUGGGUAAAGAAGCGCCGGCUAACUACGUG